RNAcentral lists this ribosomal RNA (433 nucleotides) under uncultured bacterium. Its description in RNAcentral is "partial 16S ribosomal RNA". It matches the Rfam family "Bacterial small subunit ribosomal RNA", at positions 29 to 507 of the family's 1533-position model. The record is from RNAcentral.
AACGAACGCUGGCGGCAUGCCUAACACAUGCAAGUCGAACGAGACCUUCGGGGCUAGUGGCGCACGGGUGCGUAACGCGUGGGAACCUGCCCUUAGGUUCGGAAUAACUCCCCGAAAGGGGGGCUAAUACCGGAUAAUGUCUUCGGACCAAAGAUUUAUCGCCUUUGGAUGGGCCCGCGUUGGAUUAGCUAGUUGGUAGGGUAAAAGCCUACCAAGGCGACGAUCCAUAGCUGGUCUGAGAGGAUGAUCAGCCACACUGGGACUGAGACACGGCCCAGACUCCUACGGGAGGCAGCAGUGGGGAAUAUUGGACAAUGGGCGAAAGCCUGAUCCAGCAAUGCCGCGUGAGUGAUGAAGGCCUUAGGGUUGUAAAGCUCUUUUACCCGGGAUGAUAAUGACAGUACCGGGAGAAUAAGCUCCGGCUAACUCCGUG